RNAcentral lists this ribosomal RNA (497 nucleotides) under uncultured bacterium. RNAcentral's name for it is "partial 16S ribosomal RNA". It matches the Rfam family "Bacterial small subunit ribosomal RNA", at positions 28 to 507 of the family's 1533-position model. The record is from RNAcentral.
GAUGAACGCUGGCGGCGUGCCUAAUACAUGCCAGUCGAGCGAACAGACGAGGAGCUUGCUCCUCUGACGUUAGCGGCGGACGGGUGAGUAACACGUGGAUAACCUACCUAUAAGACUGGGAUAACUUCGGGAAACCGGAGCUAAUACCGGAUAAUAUAUUGAACCGCAUGGUUCAAUAGUGAAAGACGGUUUUGCUGUCACUUAUAGAUGGAUCCGCGCCGCAUUAGCUAGUUGGUAAGGUAACGGCUUACCAAGGCAACGAUGCGUAGCCGACCUGAGAGGGUGAUCGGCCACACUGGAACUGAGACACGGUCCAGACUCCUACGGGAGGCAGCAGUAGGGAAUCUUCCGCAAUGGGCGAAAGCCUGACGGAGCAACGCUGCGUGAGUGAUGAAGGUCUUCGGAUCGUAAAACUCUGUUAUUAGGGAAGAACAAAUGUGUAAGUAACUAUGCACGUCUUGACGGUACCUAAUCAGAAAGCCACGGCUAACUACGCG